Molecule: non-coding RNA, 57 nt
Organism: Bos taurus (domestic cattle)
Lineage: Eukaryota; Metazoa; Chordata; Mammalia; Artiodactyla; Bovidae
Source: Rfam
UAGCUCAGUUGGUAAAGAAUCUGCCUGCAAAGCAGGAGACCCUGGUUCAAUUCCUGG